RNAcentral lists this ribosomal RNA (460 nucleotides) under uncultured bacterium. RNAcentral describes it as "partial 16S ribosomal RNA". It matches the Rfam family "Bacterial small subunit ribosomal RNA", at positions 338 to 795 of the family's 1533-position model. The record is from RNAcentral.
CCUACGGGUGGCAGCAGUGAGGAAUAUUGGUCAAUGGGCGGAAGCCUGAACCAGCCAAGUCGCGUGAGGGAAUAAGGCCCUAUGGGUCGUAAACCUCUUUUGCCGGGGAGUAAGGGCGUGGACGUGUCCCGGCCCGGAGGGUACCCGGGGAAAAAGCAUGGGCUAAGCCGGUCCCACCAGCCGCGUUAAACCGGGGGAUGGGAGCGUUAUCGGGUUUUAUUGGGUUUAAGGGGUGCGUAGGCGGGCGUUUAAGCAAGCGGUAAAGAUUGGGGGCUCAACGUCGUACGGCCGUUGAAACUGGGGGCCGUGAGUGGGCGAGAAGAAGGCGGAAUGCGUGGUGUAGCGGUGAAAUGCAUAGAUAUCACGCAGAACCCCGAUUGCGAAGGCAGCCUUCCGGCGCCCUACUGACGCUGAGGCACGAAAGUGCGGGGAUCGAACAGGAUUAGAUACCCCUGUAGUC